This 460-nucleotide ribosomal RNA is filed under the name uncultured bacterium. RNAcentral describes it as "partial 16S ribosomal RNA". It matches the Rfam family "Bacterial small subunit ribosomal RNA", at positions 338 to 795 of the family's 1533-position model. The record is from RNAcentral.
CCUACGGGUGGCAGCAGUGAGGAAUAUUGGUCAAUGGACGAGAGUCUGAACCAGCCAAGUAGCGUGAAGGAUGACUGCCCUAUGGGUUGUAAACUUCUUUUAUAAAGGAAUAAAACGAGGCACGCGUGCCUUUUUGUAUGUACUUUAUGAAUAAGGAUCGGCUAACUCCGUGCCAGCAGCCGCGGUAAUACGGAGGAUCCGAGCGUUAUCCGGAUUUAUUGGGUUUAAAGGGAGCGUAGAUGGGUUGUUAAGUCAGUUGUGAAAGUUUGCGGCUCAACCGUAAAAUUGCAAUUGAUACUGGCAGUCUUGAGUACAGUUGAGGUAGGCGGAGUUCGUGGUGUAGCGGUGAAAUGCUUAGAUAUCACGAAGAACCCCGAUUGCGAAGGCAGCUUACUAAACUGUGACUGACAUUGAUGCUCGAAAGUGUGGGUAUCAAACAGGAUUAGAUACCCUUGUAGUC